UACAGAGGUCCCGAGCGUUGUUCGGAUUCACUGGGCGUAAAGGGUGCGCAGGUGGCUUGGCAAGUUUGAUGUGAAAGCUCAGGGCUUAACCCUGAAAUGGCAUUGAAUACUGUUGAGCUGGAGGUUUGGAGGGGGGACUGGAAUUCCUGGUGUAGCGGUGAAAUGCGUAGAGAUCAGGAAGAACACCGGUGGCGAAAGCGCUUUGCUAGGCCGCAACUGACACUGAGGGACGAAAGCUAGGGGAGCGAAUGGG
This 253-nucleotide ribosomal RNA is filed under the name uncultured bacterium. RNAcentral describes it as "partial 16S ribosomal RNA". It matches the Rfam family "Bacterial small subunit ribosomal RNA", at positions 524 to 776 of the family's 1533-position model. The record is from RNAcentral.